Molecule: long non-coding RNA, 3433 nt
Organism: Venturia canescens
Lineage: Eukaryota; Metazoa; Arthropoda; Insecta; Hymenoptera; Ichneumonidae
Exons: 2
Source: RefSeq, a predicted model, not a curated record
AUUUUCAGUCGGCGUUCCAGAUUGAUGAGCGAAGCGCUCUGUAUUCGGCGUCUCACCGUUUGCCCGUCAGUAUCUCAUAUCAUUUUUCAAGUUUUCGUCGCACUAACGUCAGCUCACGUUUUCCAAGUUCUUUCUCGCGUCCACUGCGUGUGAUUCCGUCUUUUUAAUAAUUCAUUUUUAAUAUCUGACUUUGGUCAUCGAUGCCGAUAUUUCUUUCAGCAUCUGUGUUGUAUACUUCGUCUCACUGGCCAUAUUUUCGUCUCUUCUUUUGCACUAGUACGUCAAUUUUCAAACGUAUUCACGGUGACAGUUUUCGGCGUUACUGUCCUCGCACACUGACCAUGCACUCACAACAAACUAUUUUUCGACCAUUCCGGAAUGUUCACUUUUAUCACGAAGUCGUCUUAUUCACACCGCUAGUUCUACGAUGGUUAAUUUUUCCCACUGCUCGAUCCCUAUUUCAUAAGAUUUUAAAUAUGUUUGAAGGAUUAUUUUUAUUUAACGGGAUCGAUGGAGAACAGAAGGAAUAAUUGUCAAUUAGCAAACCAAACGUAGCGAGCAACUACUAAACGUUAUUUUUCCUGACGUACGCUGCUAGCCUGUCGAGUUUUGCUUUUUUGUUUUUUUUUUCUCAACAGUAAGUCAUAAAAGCAGCAUCGUUCCGCGCAGCAAUGAAACGUUCGCCUCGGACGUUCGCGCGUGUAUUUUUUCCUUGAGAAAUUUCCCUCAAAACUGCAUAGUUCAUUCAUAGCAUGCAAUAAAACUCAUGAAAUAACUGGCAGCUGUCAUAUUUGCUACAACGGUGAUCACAAGAAAUAUAAUUAAAAUAAUUUUGGAGGAAACGUUGCUGUACGUAAGGUAAACAAUGUCUGAUCUGGUGCUGCUCAAAUUUAUUCAAAAACCAACCAUUAUAUAUUCAACUUUAUAAUUCAUGAUCACAACAAUGAACUCUUCACUUUAAGAUGUGCUUCAAAUUUAUAAAUCGUAGUGCAAUAGAAUUAAAUAAAUAAAAAUAAUAAUAAUAAAAUAAAAAUAACGAACUUCUUUAUCGACCAUCACUCAAGAGUUUCAUAAUUUCAUCAACAAAAUCUACCAAUCGAUCGACCGUUGAAGAUUUGUUUGUAAUUGGAGAGUUGCCGUUGAUAGGUUCGGUUAGCAAUGCUCGCAUCCCGUUGAUUUUUUCUGAGGCAUAAAUAUCGAUUAUUUUAGAAAAAGUUAUACGAGCCAUUCCCAUUUUUUGAAUCAACGCAUCCGACAAAACACUCCGCAGUGGAAGCAAACUUUGGGUAGCAUCCUCGUAUCGUUUCGGGUGCAAUGUUUUGUGCUGGCACUUCGAGUGGUACCAUUUUCGAUACGAAGAGGUUAUUCGCAAUUUUUAAACAAGUCAACCUCUGUAAAACCUCUAUAUCUCACAGUGCAUUAUGAGCUCCGUCGUUCGAAGCCGUCCGACUCUUCGAUUCCGCAGUGUCGGACGGUCGGAAGCGCGUUGGCAGAGCGUGUAACUACGUCUUUAGAUUGUGCAAACGUCGAGGUUUCUUUUGUUCCAUGAAGAAGUCGGACACUAUCGAAAGAGCAUUACGUGUCGCGGGUACUACGUGAGCGCAGCUCAUUUUGACGCGACUGAAGAUCAUUGAAAAACAGCACGAAAAUCAUUUUGUGGAUUUUCAUGAGACCGUUGACUGCCGACGCCGCAGUACGAAAAAAGGAACGCUUCCAAGAAAAGAAACAUGAACGCUAAACAAAACUCCGUUUCACUUAGUGCUCUCAUUUGCAAUGUUCCAGCCAGGCGUAUAGGAAUAAACAAAUAAUGCAAUUUCAUCGCUGAGGGAAUCUUCUCUUUAUAAUUGGGUGGAACUAGAGUAAACUGCUCUGCUGAUCUCGCUUUUGGGCGGCAUGAGUUUUGCUGUGUUUCGAUACGGUAUUGACGAAUGUUAUAAUGGGACAACAAACAUUUUUUUCCAACUGCAUGAGCGAACGCUUUAAGUAGAAAAAUUACGAGUGACGUGCCUGAGGCUGAGAAUCUGAGAAUUUGAAAAAAAUAUAUUUUUCAUCAAUUUUAAGGAUACAGAAGACACGCUCGAGUGAGGACGCGUCUGUCGCGACGGUUCAACUCCCAUGACGACUGUGAACUAGUAAAACAGAAUGUAAUGAAAAAAUGAGAGUACGGAUUGAUGAAAAACAAAUGCGUAACGUAUUGUGUACGAAACGCAUUGUUGAAAUCUAAAGUCAGAGAGAGUGCCGAACAAAGUGAACGCGUCCACAAACCUUGCUCCAAACUUUUCUUUCUACAACGUGUUUCAAUUAUCGCUGUGACUUUUUCAUGUACACUUCACCCACGUUUUUGUUAUCAAUGCCGGCUGCAAAUCGACAAUUGUUCGACACGUUCGUGCUGAAGAAUUGCGCUUUUGGUAUGUUAUACUAGUCAUCGUGGCAUGCAAAUGCCCAUUGAGAUUACUCGACACAGCGUACAUAAAUUUAUAUGAAUUUUCGGUCGACCCGUUUAUGAUAUUUUUCAAGAUAUUUACUGAGCUUCACGUUAUUAAAAUAAAUAAAUAAAAUGUAUAUUAUACAGUAAUACGUGAUCGUCAUGAAGUUAUAAUUAACGUGUUUCUGACACAAACAUAUCAUGUUUCGAUAAGAGGAAAUAUCAAAUUAUUUGAAACAAUGGACACUACAGCCAACAGUCUGAGUUGUGCAGUUACUACAAACAAUGAGUCGAGUCUUGGUCAGUUAAGAAAAAAAAGAAUUGGAGGAGUCUGACUGUUUUAAAGAUAUCUCAAAGUUAUAAGAAUAACUUUGCUCCAACUUUUUUUUAGUUGUUCCAGGAUGUUGAUUUUUUUCAUUGAAUUUUUUAUUUUUAUACAUAAGAGAAACACAGUGAAUGCAAUAAAUAUUAAUUGUUUAUUCGAGUGCGUUGGAUUCGACACACAAGAAAUUUGACAGAUUCCUCAUGAAUGAUUUUAUCUCGUAUUGUUGAAGGAAUUUCUGGCAUUAAAACGAAAAUGAUGUCACCUUUAGUCAGUCGAUUGUAUCUUAUAAAGUGAAGUGUAAAAAAAAUUGAUUUAAUUUUCCGACAGUUUAAGAAUCACAAUCAAUAACAAUCUGGACCAACUAAUAUGUAAUCUGCUUAUGGAAGUCAAGACACGUUCGGUGAUAUCUCGAUCCAUUAGAAAAUUUGUUGAUAUUGGGUUGAUAAUUUAUUCCCGCGGAUUAAGAUAGUACCUGGAAAUAUUGCAAGGACACAUUCAGGUUACCUCGCACUCAAAUCAGUGCAUUGCGGUGGGGAUUUCUACAUUACAAUUUGAGAACGUCUUGUGUUUAGAACACAUCAUAGUUUUGCUCAUUGCUGGAUUUAUUUUAUUCAUCAUUUUCUCUUUCGAUUGUUCGUUCUUGUGUAUUAUGUUGUAAGAUUAUUAUUAUUAUUAUUAUUUUU